CCUACGGGGGGCAGCAGUGGGGAAUAUUGGACAAUGGGCGAAAGCCUGAUCCAGCCAUGCCGCGUGUGUGAAGAAGGCCUUCGGGUUGUAAAGCACUUUCAGUGGGGAAGAAAGCCUUGGGGCUAAUACCCUCGAGGAAGGACAUCACCCACAGAAGAAGCACCGGCUAACUCCGUGCCAGCAGCCGCGGUAAUACGGAGGGUGCGAGCGUUAAUCGGAAUUACUGGGCGUAAAGCGCGCGUAGGCGGUCUGAUAAGCCGGUUGUGAAAGCCCCGGGCUCAACCUGGGAACGGCACCGGACCGGACAGGCAGGGUGGGAGGAGGGGAGGGUAAAGUCCCGGGGGUAGUGGUGAGUGGAGUAGGGAUCGGGAGAACACCCAGUGGCAAAGGGGGCUUUCUGAAUUGACACGAACGCUGGGGGGCAAAAGGGGGGGUAGCAAACAGGUUGAAAUCCCCUAGAGUUC
Molecule: ribosomal RNA, 464 nt
Filed under: Vreelandella stevensii
Lineage: Bacteria; Pseudomonadati; Pseudomonadota; Gammaproteobacteria; Oceanospirillales; Halomonadaceae
Description: partial 16S ribosomal RNA
Rfam family: Bacterial small subunit ribosomal RNA
Source: RNAcentral